CCCGCUCGAGCAUCAUUCAAGGUCGCAGAGAGCACACUGCUGGUCGGUGCCGGGUUGUUUCCUCUGGGAAUAGAGAGGGCAGGCAGGGCAUUCUGGCGUCACCCCAGGGUAUCAGCCGGUUCUGGCUCCUUGGCAUCAGAGCCAGACCGAGGCCCCUGCGGUGGACAAUUGGUUUCGGCACGCUGAGGAGACCUGGGAGGCAGCCCACGUUCACCUUCAACAGUGUUCGCACCAGGGGACAGGGUCUGGCUCUCGACCCGAAACCUGCCCCUUCGCCUACUCUGCCGGAAGCUGGGUCCGCGGUUUGUGGGGCCGUUUAAAGUCCUGAGGAGAGUGAACGAGGUAUGUUAUAGGUUACAACUACCCACUCAUUACCGUAUUAACC
Oncorhynchus tshawytscha (Chinook salmon) is the source of this 385-nucleotide long non-coding RNA. The record is from Ensembl. Lineage: Eukaryota; Metazoa; Chordata; Actinopteri; Salmoniformes; Salmonidae.